GUCCCGUUCGUCUAUCGGUUAGGACGUCAGGUUUUCAACCUGAAAAGAGGGGUUCGAUUCCCCUACGGGAUG
RNAcentral lists this transfer RNA (72 nucleotides) under Ascidiaceihabitans donghaensis. It matches the Rfam family "tRNA". From Rfam's summary of the family: Transfer RNA (tRNA) molecules are approximately 80 nucleotides in length. Their secondary structure includes four short double-helical elements and three loops (D, anti-codon, and T loops). RNAcentral also lists the same sequence under 1 other name. The record is from Rfam by way of RNAcentral. Lineage: Bacteria; Pseudomonadati; Pseudomonadota; Alphaproteobacteria; Rhodobacterales; Paracoccaceae.